UGGAAUAAAUAAUAAUUAAAUUUAAAAUCCCGAAGUAAGAAGAUCUAACUUUUUUAAAUUUUUAGAUUGAUUUAGUGAAAAUAAUGUAGCAAAAUUACAAAUAAUAAAAUAAGUUAGGAGUGAAAGGCUAAUCAAUUCUUAUUGAUAACUGGCUUAAACUGAAAUAUAUUAAGUAUAUUUAAAACAGAUGUAAAAUACUAAGAUUUUAUAUAAAAGAUAAAAUGAAUUUAAUAGCUGCGUUAAUUUAUUAAUAUAAAAUAACAAUAUUGCAUAAAUUAUCAAUUUUCUAUUUAUUUCUAAUUUAUAAGUUUAUUUUAAUAAUAAUUUAUAUAUUAUCUAAUAAUGUUUAAAUGAGUAUUUAUAAGAAAAGGGUUAAAGGAACUCGGCAAACUUUUUUUCAACUGUUUACCAAAAACAUAGCUAUUUGUCUAUCAUAACUAGUUAUUUCUGCCCGGUGAAAUUUUAACGGCCGCAGUACACUGACUGUGCAAAGGUAGCAUAAUAAAUUGGCUUUUAAUUGAAGUCGCGUAUGAACGAAUAAAUGGAAAAUAGCUGUCUUUCUCCUUUUAUUUAAAAAUUACUAAGAAAGUGCAAAUUCUUUCAAAACUAUUUAAAAGACGAGAAGACCCUAUAAAUUUUUACUAAUAUUACUUUUAUAUAUUAUGUUUUUGUUGGGGCAACAUUUUAACAUCAGAAAAUUUAAGAUAAUUUUGAAUAUAUGCAACGAGUUUUACUAACCAAAAAAAAAUUACUAUAGGGAUAACAGCAUAAUUUAAUAAAUAAGAUUGUGACCUCGAUGUUGGAUUAGGGUUCAGUUAGAUUAGAAAUUUAACUGUUAGGUUCUGUUCGAACUUUUUUAUCCCU
RNAcentral lists this ribosomal RNA (864 nucleotides) under Erjavecia bergeri. Its description in RNAcentral is "partial large subunit ribosomal RNA". Lineage: Eukaryota; Metazoa; Mollusca; Gastropoda; Stylommatophora; Clausiliidae. The record is from RNAcentral.